Molecule: long non-coding RNA, 2157 nt
Organism: Arabidopsis lyrata subsp. lyrata
Lineage: Eukaryota; Viridiplantae; Streptophyta; Magnoliopsida; Brassicales; Brassicaceae
Exons: 7
Source: RefSeq, a predicted model, not a curated record
UUAAUGAAUCGGAGAUACAAGGGAAAAAAAAAACUUGAACAAGAUACUGAAAGUCUUUGGUUGUCUUCAUCGUUGUCAAUAAGGGCUUUGGGGUUCAUGGGUGUUACUUGGAUGUUAGAUUUGAGAGCAAUGAGGAGUUAGAUUGGUCGUCAUAAGCGGUCGUAGGAGUGUGAUUUUGAGUGGCUUGGUAAAGAAUGUGCUAGGUUCUCUGCGGAUUUGAGUUUUCUAUUGGGCUGUGUGAGUUCCAUUGAGUAUGUAGCCUCAGGUGGGUUAUCAGAAAAAAAGUUAUCUUUUUGUUUUGUUUUGUUUAGGGAAUGUGCUGAAGAGAGUAAGACAAUGGACAGUUAUUUCAUACUAGUUUUCGAUGUUUGUAUCAAUCUAACAACUUUUAGGAGAUGGGUUUAUCUCAAUGGCUUUGCUUUGUCACUAAAGCUUCUAAAUGGGGAGAUUUUGCUCUUUGUUUGCGUGCUCCAAAGCAUACCAUCUCAUCUCUGCUUUGGGACAUACUCUGAUCUGAUACGUGGCUGAGCCUUAAAAUGGUGAACACAAGUGCUUUUGGGAUGCUUCACAUUUUCUUUGAAUUUUUGGUUCUUGCUCUAUUCGUGUAUGCUUUUAAGGUAGCUGUGUCAAUGAUCUCUACGGAUCAGUUUUCUUUUCCUUGGAGUGUUAGUUUGUUUGAUGAUGAUUUUUAUCUCUUCUAUCAAUCUAUGGAUUAUGUGUAGUUUACAUAUUAUUAUAGGCCUCAGAAAGAAGGUGAUUAACUAUCUCUCUCUGAUGGAAGCUGAAGAAGCUCUUAGAUCUGAGGCUAUGGCCGCUGCAAGUAAGGUUUUAAGAAGCAAGACUGUAGUUGCUGCGAGUGGAUUUCUAAGAGCUGAGACCGUGGAUGCUGCUGCGAUUGGGUCUUCACGAGCCGAGACUGUAGCUUCUGCGAGUGGAGUCCCAGUUAUGGUAUGUUCCAAGAGUAAAGAGUUACAUGUAUGUGCAAGGUGCUUAAGUCCUGCUAAGACACGCUGCUCAAGAUGCAAAUCUGUUAGAUACUGCUCUGGGGAGUGCCAAACAAUUCACUGGAGGCUAUCUCAUAAGGAUGAAUGUGUCCCGGUGGAGUACUGUUCUACUUCCACUGGGAAGCUUUCCUGCGACGAAGAACUCGCAAGCUUGGGUGGCUCUCAGGUUGACAAUGCGCCUCAGUUCAAAUGCAAGAAGGCCAACAGAGAAUCGCGUAGAAAGGACGAUGUUCGCAGGUUUGGUACCUCCAAUGAAUUUUCUGGUGGAGAAGCAGCCUGAGUUGGUGGCGGUAGUAAUAGCAUGUUGAAAGGGGAUCACUUUAAACAUAAGUCGAAAAGCAAAGGCUAUGCCGUGGAAGAAAAUCCCUCAUGAAAUACUGUUAACUCUUGCAUGCGAGUGAAUGGACAACCUUUAGCAACUAGUAUGCAGGAAAGUUGCAAACAACAUGAGAGCGAUUUGGAAGGUAGAAACUCUUUUGGCUGUUCAAACAUUCAAUUUCCUACAAAAGGUGGGAAAUAAAAGAAAGAAACCUGUCUUUUACAACAUGGGAACAUAAUGUUGUUGGACAGGUGUCAACAAAUCUGGAGAACAUCAAUGCAGACUCAAGCUGGAAGGGGCAAGUGGCUGAAAUAUCAAAGACAGCAGUUGCAUCUCAAACCAUGGAUAUUAUGAAGAUGAUGGGUUUAAGAAAGUCUACAAAGCUUAAUACUAAUGAACAGCAUGAUGAUCUUCACAAAAAGCUAAAAGAUUGUUUUGUCUCUUUUUUUUUCUUCUGUCUGUUAUGUUUUCAGAUGCUAUUACCAUAUGAGGAGUUUGUUAGACUCUUUCAUAGUGAAGUGUGAACUUGAACAACAUGUAAUGAUGCUUAGAGAAAACGGUGGCCCGCUUUGUGCAAGCAGAGUUCUCUCGCAUAUGCUGUCUGAUUGGUGAUUGGAGUCAAGAAGAUGCUCACGCGCUCUUAAGGCUUUUGGUUGCUUCUAUGCAAUCCAUAUGUUUGGAGAGACGACUCCACUCGAAGGUCUACACCAGAAGAUCUUGAUUUUCAAUUUAAUUUUACUUCUAUUUAAUCAUUUUUCAGACUUUUUUUGGUUACAGUUUUUCCCACCUUUACAAAUAGUCAAUAGAUAAAACAAAUAACAAUAUUAAUAACCA